This 433-nucleotide ribosomal RNA is filed under the name uncultured bacterium. RNAcentral's name for it is "partial 16S ribosomal RNA". It matches the Rfam family "Bacterial small subunit ribosomal RNA", at positions 29 to 507 of the family's 1533-position model. The record is from RNAcentral.
AGCGAACGCUGGCGGCAGGCCUAACACAUGCAAGUCGAACGGAUCCUUCGGGAUUAGUGGCGGACGGGUGAGGAACACGUGGGAACGGGCCCGUUGGUUCGGAACAACUCAGGGAAACUUGAGCUAAUACCGGAUGUGCCCUGCGGGGGAAAGAUUUAUCGCCAUUGGAGCGGCCCGCGUCUGUUUAGCUAGUUGGUGAGGUAACGGCCCAUCAAGGCGACGCUCAGUAGCUGGGUUGAGAGGAUGAUCAGCCACACUGGGACUGAGACACGGCCGAGACUCCUACGGGAGGCAGCAGUGGGGGAUCUUGCGCAAUGGGCGAAAGCAUGACGCAGCCAUGCCGGGUGAAUGAUGAAGGUCUUAGGAUUGUAAAAUUCUUUCAGCGGGGACGAUAAUGACGGUACCCGCAGAAGAAGCGCCGGCUAACUUCGUG